GGAUGAGCUGAGGCAGGGCCUGUCUGCAUGAAGCCUGGGCCUGCUCCUGGCUCUGAGGACCUCGAAGCAGAAGACGGUACCUGCUGAAGAACUCCUGUCAGUCUGCGAUGACACAGCCAGUGGGCCAUCUGAGGUCCUUCCACUCCUAACAGCUUGGAGAAGACAGUCAGUGAGCGGUCAUCUGCCUGAGAAAAAACAAAGAACUCAGAAUGGUGAAAGCAUUGCGAGUGCGCUCCAGGUCCAACAAAUCAUCAGUUCCGGGAAUCUGUACCUCUCCUCCCUGGCUGGUGUAGUGGAAAUGUUCAGGCAACUCUCUGGAGGCACACAGCUGGUAGAAGAUAUGGUAGUUCCUCUCUGCUGAUGCCUUACGCAUACAAACAAUGUUCAUCAACAUUUGCAGAAGUAGCAUUUCACCUCUUAACAAAUG
Molecule: long non-coding RNA, 427 nt
Organism: Siniperca chuatsi (mandarin fish)
Lineage: Eukaryota; Metazoa; Chordata; Actinopteri; Centrarchiformes; Sinipercidae
Exons: 4
Source: RefSeq, a predicted model, not a curated record